This 497-nucleotide ribosomal RNA is filed under the name uncultured bacterium. Its description in RNAcentral is "partial 16S ribosomal RNA". It matches the Rfam family "Bacterial small subunit ribosomal RNA", at positions 28 to 507 of the family's 1533-position model. The record is from RNAcentral.
GACGAACGCUGGCGGCGUGCCUAAUACAUGCAAGUAGAACGCUGAAGAGAGGAGCUUGCUCUUCUUGGAUGAGUUGCGAACGGGUGAGUAACGCGUAGGUAACCUGCCUGGUAGCGGGGGAUAACUAUUGGAAACGAUAGCUAAUACCGCAUAAAAUGGAUUAUCGCAUGAUAAUCCAUUGAAAGGUGCAAAUGCAUCACUACCAGAUGGACCUGCGUUGUAUUAGCUAGUUGGUGGGGUAACGGCUCACCAAGGCGACGAUACAUAGCCGACCUGAGAGGGUGAUCGGCCACACUGGGACUGAGACACAGCCCAGACUCCUACGGGAGGCAGCAGUAGGGAAUCUUCGGCAAUGGACGGAAGUCUGACCGAGCAACGCCGCGUGAGUGAAGAAGGUUUUCGGAUCGUAAAGCUCUGUUGUAAGAGAAGAACGAGUGUGAGAGUGGAAAGUUCACACUGUGACGGUAUCUUACCAGAAAGGGACGGCUAACUACGUG